AGGAGGAACAACCCCAGUGGCUGCGGCAGCUCUGCAGCCCUGGAGUCAGCUCCCGCAGGAACUACAGAGCUCUCGGUCUGCAGGGCCUGGAGGCUCCGGGGCGGG
Canis lupus familiaris (dog) is the source of this 105-nucleotide non-coding RNA. Lineage: Eukaryota; Metazoa; Chordata; Mammalia; Carnivora; Canidae. The record is from Rfam.